UUCCAGACUCCUACGGGAGGCAGCAGUGGGGGAUAUUGCACAAUGGGGGAAACCCUGAUGCAGCGACGCCGCGUGGGUGAAGAAGCGCCUCGGCGCGUAAAGCCCUGUCAGCAGGGAAGAAAAUGACGGUACCUGAAGAAGAAGCCCCGGCUAACUACGUGCCAGCAGCCGCGGUAAUACGUAGGGGGCAAGCGUUAUCCGGAUUUACUGGGUGUAAAGGGGGCGCAGACGGCGAUGCAAGCCAGGAGUGAAGGCCCGGGGCCCAACCCCGGGACUGCUCUUGGAACUGCGUGGCUAGAGUGCAGGAGGGGCAGGCGGAAUUCCUGGUGUAGCGGUGAAAUGCGUAGAUAUCAGGAGGAACACCGGUGGCGAAGGCGGCCUGCUGGACUGCAACUGACGUUGAGGCCCGAAAGCGUGGGGAGCAAACAGGAUUAGAUACCCCAGUACAG
RNAcentral lists this ribosomal RNA (449 nucleotides) under uncultured bacterium. RNAcentral's name for it is "bacterial SSU rRNA". It matches the Rfam family "Bacterial small subunit ribosomal RNA", at positions 329 to 793 of the family's 1533-position model. The record is from RNAcentral.